CCUACGGGUGGCUGCAGUGAGGAAUAUUGGUCAAUGGACGAGAGUCUGAACCAGCCAAGUAGCGUGAAGGAUGACUGCCCUAUGGGUUGUAAACUUCUUUUAUAUGGGAAUAAAACGUUCCACGUGUGGGAUUUUGUAUGUACCAUAUGAAUAAGGAUCGGCUAACUCCGUGCCAGCAGCCGCGGUAAUACGGAGGAUCCGAGCGUUAACCGGAUUUAUUGGGGUUAAAGGGAGCGUAGGUGGAUUGUUAAGUCAGGUGUGAAAGUUUGCGGCUCAACCGUAAAAUUGCAGUUGAAACUGGCAGUCUUGAGUACAGUAGAGGUGGGCGGAAGUCGUGGUGUAGCGGUGAAAUGCUUAGAUAUCACGAAGAACUCCGAUUGCGAAGGCAGUUCACUGGACUGCAACUGACACUGAGGCUCGAAAGUGUGGGUAUCAAACAGGAUUAGAUACCCCUGUAGUC
This 460-nucleotide ribosomal RNA is filed under the name uncultured bacterium. RNAcentral's name for it is "partial 16S ribosomal RNA". It matches the Rfam family "Bacterial small subunit ribosomal RNA", at positions 338 to 795 of the family's 1533-position model. The record is from RNAcentral.